Molecule: long non-coding RNA, 775 nt
Organism: Quercus lobata
Lineage: Eukaryota; Viridiplantae; Streptophyta; Magnoliopsida; Fagales; Fagaceae
Exons: 2
Source: RefSeq, a predicted model, not a curated record
UAAAAGGCCGAUAAUAAAUUCUUGGGUAGUUGAGGUAAGUGUAAUAUUUUUAGAGAUGUAGGCAAUAAAGUUGACAAAAGAAUCCAAAAUUUGAAACUAAAGCCUUACCUAGAGCUGGUUGAAAUGUACUUAUUAAAAUGCUUCUUUUGCUUGUAUGCAACAUAUUACGAAUUGUUUUCUUUUAUCCACUACAAAUUCAUGGUAAAUUAGACCAACUCCAAAGAUGGGGAUAAUUUAAGGGUGCAGUUAGUGUGGAGGAUAGUAUCUUUCUUGUUAAGCUAUCUAGAUUUAGUUUGUGGGCAGUGUAAAUUAUUUGAAAGCAUGUUAUCUUCUUUUUAAGGUGACAGUACCAAUAUUUACCUUUGAGCUAAAAAUGGUGCUUUUCUUGUUACUCAUAUGAAAAUGUUGAUAGGUAUUAUGGAUAGGAUUGCAUGAUUACUGACAACUUGGUUGGCUGGUUUAUUUGUAGCUUUUUAGAACACGUCUUCCAAGUGUUAGAUUAUUGUGUAAAUAGGUACAUUAGCACACUUCAGAGGAUCAAGCUAUCCGUUCGGACAUGCAUGCCAGAUCGAAGACUGAUUUGCGGAUUGGGUUCUACAGUUUUUGUUCGUGGGGUUUGUGAUGCUUAGACUUGGACCAUUAUGGUUUUGCAUUUUAUUGCUAUUGUAAUAAUGUAACCUGCAUUAGUCCUUCCACACGGGACUCCCGGAUCACUAUGGCCGACUUUAUCUUUCUAAUGGAAAUCUAAAUGGGAUGCUCCCUACUUUUUAAGUGA